This is an RNA transcript of Cebus imitator (Panamanian white-faced capuchin), 1288 nucleotides long. It is a transcript of the gene named glyceraldehyde-3-phosphate dehydrogenase-like, with no coding region annotated. Lineage: Eukaryota; Metazoa; Chordata; Mammalia; Primates; Cebidae. The transcript has a single exon. The record is from RefSeq and is a predicted model, not a curated record.
UUAGAAGCCAAAGGGUAGGCUCUCUGCUCCUCCUAUUCGACAUACAGUUGCAUCUUGCCUCCCAUCACCAGCUGCAUCCCUGAGACACCAUAGGGAAGGUGAAGGUCAGAGUCAAUGGAUUUGGUCGUAUUGGCCGCCUGGUCACCAGGUCUGCUUUUAGCUCUGGUAAAGUGGAUAUUAUUGCCAUCAAUGAUCUCUUCAUUGACCUCAACUACAUGGUCAACAUGUUCCAGUAUGAUUCCACCCAUGGCAAAUUCCAUGGCACCAUCAAAGCUGAGAAUGGGAAGCUUAUCAUCAAUGGAAAUCCCAUCACCAUCUUCCAGGAGUGAGAUCCUCCAAAAUCAAGUGGGGCGAUGCUGGCACUGAGUACGUGGUAGAGUCCACUGGCAUCUUCAUCACCAUGAAGAAGGCUGGGGCUCACUUGCAGGGGGAAACCAAAUGGGGCAUCAUCUGUGCCCCCUCUGCUGAUGCCCCCAUGUUCGUGAUGGGCGUGAACUAUGAGAAGUAUGAAAAUAGCCUCAGGAUUGUCAGCAAUGCCUCCUCCACCACCAAAUGCUUACUGUCCCUGGCCACGGUCAUCCAUUAAAACUUUGGUAUUGUGGAAGGAUUCUUAACCACCCCAUCACUGCCACCCAAAGGACUGUGGAUGGCCCCUCUGGGAAACCGUGGCAUGAUGGCCGUGGGGCUCUCCAGAACAUCAUCCCUGCCUCUACUGGCACUGCCAAGGCUAUUGGCAAGGCCAUCCCUGAGCUGAACGGGAAGCUCACUGGCAUGGUCUUCCGUGUCCCCAUUGCCAACGUGUCAGUGGUGGACCUGACCUGCUGUCUGGAAAAACCUGCCAAAUGUGAUGACAUCAAGAAGGUGUAAAGCAGGCAUCAGAGGGUCCCCUCAAGGGCAUCCUGGUUUACACUGAGCACCAGGUGGUCUCCUGUGACUUCAACAGCGACACCCACUCUUCCACCUUUGAUGCUGGGGCUGGCAUUGCCCUCAAUGACCACUUUGUCAAACUCAUUUCUUGGUAUGACAAUGAAUUUGGCUACAGUAACAGGGUGGUGGAUGUCAUGGCCCACAUGGCUUCCAAGGAGUAAGACCCCUGGACUACCAGCCACAGCAAGAGCAUGAGAGGAAGAGAGAGGCCCUCACUGCUGGUGAGUCCCUGCCACACUCAGUCCCCUACCACACUGAAUUGCCCAUCCUCACAGUUUCCAUGUAGACCCCUUGAAGAGGGAGGGGGCCUAGGGAGCCCCACCUUGUCAUGUACCAUCAGUCAAGUCCCCUGUGCUCAGCC